AACGAACGCUGGCGGCGUGCCUAAUACAUGCAAGUCGAACGAGAAAGUGUAGCAAUACAUUAGUAAAGUGGCAGACGGGUGAGUAAUACAUAGGUAAUUUCCCCUUAAGAUGAGAAUAACCUUCCGAAAGGAGGGCUAAUACUGAAUGAGACCACAGUGACUGCGGUCACAGUGGCCAAAGGUGACCUCUACUUGUAAGUUACCGCUUAAGGAUAAGCUUAUGCACCAUCAGCUAGUUGGUAAGGUAACGGCUUACCAAGGCUUUGACGGUUAGCUGAUCUGAGAGGUUGAUCAGCCACACUGGAACUGAGACACGGUCCAGACUCCUACGGGAGGCAGCAGUAGGGAAUAUUGCGCAAUGGAGGAAACUCUGACGCAGCGACGCCGCGUGGGUGACGAAGGUCUUCGGAUCGUAAAGCCCUGUCGGAUGGGAAGAAAAACGGAAUGGCUAAUAUCCAUUCCGCUUGACGGUACCAUAAGAGGAAGCCCCGGCUAACUUCGUGCCAGCCGCCGCCGUAACAC
Molecule: ribosomal RNA, 522 nt
Filed under: uncultured bacterium
Lineage: Bacteria
Description: bacterial SSU rRNA
Rfam family: Bacterial small subunit ribosomal RNA
Source: RNAcentral